Molecule: ribosomal RNA, 409 nt
Filed under: bacterium
Lineage: Bacteria
Description: partial 16S ribosomal RNA
Rfam family: Bacterial small subunit ribosomal RNA
Source: RNAcentral
UGGGGAAUAUUGCACAACGGGCGAAAGCCUGAUGCAGCGACGCCGCGUGAGGGAUGACGGCCUUCGGUUUGUAAACCUCUUUCAGUAGGGACGAAGCGCAAGUGACGGUACCUGCAGAAGAACCACCGGCUAACUACGUGCCAGCACCCGCGGUAAUACGUAGGGUGCGAGCGUUGUCCGUAAUUACUGGGCGGAAAGAGCUCGUAGGCGGGUUGUCACGUCGUCUGUGAAAUCCUAGGGCUUAACCCUGGACGUGCAGGCGAUACGGGCUGACUUGAGUACUACAAGGGAGACUGGAAUUUCUGGUGUAGCGGUGGAAUGCACAGAUAUCAGGAAGAACACCGAUGGCGAAGGCAGGUCUCUGGGUAGUAACUGACGCUGAGGAGCGAAAGCAUGGGUAGCGAACAGG